UUUUAACAAAUAUUUAAAAGACCGUCAUUAUGCACAAACUUUGAUCAUUUUUUGCAGGGAGCACGCAGGAGACAGAAAAGCAAUCAAAUUGGAGAGGCAAGUGCACUUAACAAUACUUAGAGGUUGAGGUUUUAUUAGUCUAUUUGCUAACUGAGUGGCAAUCGCCGAGGAAUAGCAGCUAAAAACUGUGCUGAGCUGUACAAAUCCGGUCGAAGGAUCAGUGGUGUUUACACAAUCGACCCAGAUGGUUUAGGCGCCUUUAAUGUAUAUUGUGACCAUACAACAGCUGGUGGGGGAUGGACAGUGAUCCAGAAGAGAAUGGAUGGCUUUGUUGAUUUUAAUCGCACCUGGAAUUACUACAAACAUGGUUUCAGUAACUUAGUCGGUGAAUUUUGGCUCGGACUGGACAAGAUAAACCGUCUGACGCAAGACAAGACAAAGAACAUGCUUCGAGUAGAUCUGGGAGUAAUCACUGGCAAAACUGUUAACGCCGAAUAUAGCUGGUUCGGGAUUGGGACCAAGUACCGGGACUAAGUAUCGGCUGUAUAUUGGCAAUAUCACAAGUAACUAAACCGUUUUUCUUUUUAAGCAUUCAUUGUUCGAUUUUUAUAUGUUACUUUCCUAUCGACUUCUACUGCCCCAUUCCCACUAAAGCUUGAAGCUGUUUUGUCAAACAAGAUUUAAAAUUGGUUUCUUCAUAGACGCUGCUUAAACUGAUGUUUGUCGACUUUAAAUUUAGCAAAUCAAAAAUACAAAUGCGACUGUUUCCUCUGAUUAUCUCAAUCCUCAAGAAGAUCUCAAAUUUGGUACCUGGGAUAGAGAUCCUGCUAAUUGUGCUCAAAAAAGAGGCGGAGGCUGGUGGUUAGCAUAAUCAUAAAAUUUGAGUAUUUAUUAUUUUGCCACAUAUUUUUGUACUUGGAUAUCUGGCCUACUUCGUCGAUUGGCGUAGCUAUCAAGUUUGAGGUGUUAUCUUAAUCCUAAUAUUAUGGAAUUUUGGUAUUAAUUAUUAGUAUUUUUUAAGCAGAUGCAACUGUUUCCUUGAUUCCCUCAAUCCUCACAAAGAUCUCAUUUUUGAUACUUGGGAUAGAGAUCCAGCUUAUUGUGCUCAAAAAAGAGGCGGAGGCUGGUGGUACGGCAACAGUAGUGCUUGUGCUGUUUGGUCGAAUCUCAACGGAAUGUAUCCACAUUAUUGAAAGGAAACCUGGGCUAAUGUCCAUUGGGGAAAAUUAGAAAUGAAAUGAAAAUUAGACCAGUGGAAUUUUUUGAAAUUUUGUAAACUUUCUAACGGUAAAGUGUGCAAGUAAACAGUGAUUUCUGCGUCUUCUGAUCGGUUGACUUCGUGUUUAUCGCAACUGUGAUUUUCAGAUUAAUGAUCGAGUGGCCUUGCUUAAAUUAUUCUAAUGAAUUCCACCGAGGAACACCAUGGUUAACUGUUUCCCUCGCGACCAGGCAUCAAGUUCAAUAAUUUGCAUACAUGGUGAUGUUGGUCUUUUCUUACGAACUAUUCAUUGUUGAUUUGAAAACGCUAUAAUUUAAAACAUUAUUUCGCUUGUUGUCGAAAU
Molecule: long non-coding RNA, 1562 nt
Filed under: Pocillopora damicornis (cauliflower coral)
Lineage: Eukaryota; Metazoa; Cnidaria; Anthozoa; Scleractinia; Pocilloporidae
Description: uncharacterized LOC113686229
Source: RNAcentral